This 209-nucleotide long non-coding RNA is filed under the name Populus trichocarpa (black cottonwood). Its description in RNAcentral is "long non-coding RNA (PTRI_LNC000140)". Lineage: Eukaryota; Viridiplantae; Streptophyta; Magnoliopsida; Malpighiales; Salicaceae. The record is from RNAcentral.
UUUUUUUUUAUAAUAAGGUUAAAUAUUGGUUUAGCUGGUUUAGUUUGUUCUAGUUUAACAGGUUUUAAAUUUUUUAAACUGAAACUGAAUUAACUGAUUUUUUUUCUUUUUGAAUUAUUCAGUUUUUUUAGGUUAAUUUUUUUUCUCGGUUCAACUUGAUUAUAAAUCUACUAUUUCUAAUUAAAUCAGUAUCAAUGUACUUAACACCU